GGUUUACCUGUGUGACUGCGUACCUUUUGUAUAAUGGGUCAGCGACUUAUAUUCUGUAGCAAGGUUAACCGAAUAGGGGAGCCGGAGGGAAACCGAGUCUUAAUUGGGCGUUAAGUUGCAGGGUAUAGACCCGAAACCCGGUGAUCUAGCCAUGGGCAGGUUGAAGGUUGGGUAACACUAACUGGAGGACCGAACCGACUAAUGUUGAAAAAUUAGCGGAUGACCUGUGGCUGGGGGUGAAAGGCCAAUCAAACCGGGAGAUAGCUGGUUCUCCCCGAAAGCUAUUUAGGUAGCGCCUCGUGAAUUCAUCUCCGGGGGUAGAGCACUGUUUCGGCUAGGGGGCCAUCCCGGCUUACCAACCCGAUGCAAACUGCGAAUACCGGAGAAUGUUAUCACGGGAGACACACGGCGGGUGCUAACGUCCGUCGUGAAGAGGGAAACAACCCAGACCGCCAGCUAAGGUCCCAAAGUCAUGGUUAAGUGGGAAACGAUGUGGGAAGGCCCAGACAGCCAGGAUGUUGGCUUAGAAGCAGCCAUCAUUUAAAGAAAGCGUAAUAGCUCACUGGUCGAGUCGGCCUGCGCGGAAGAUGUAACGGGGCUAAACCAUGCACCGAAGCUGCGGCAGCGACACUGUGUGUUGUUGGGUAGGGGAGCGUUCUGUAAGCCUGUGAAGGUGUGUCGUGAGGCAUGCUGGAGGUAUCAGAAGUGCGAAUGCUGACAUAAGUAACGAUAAAGCGGGUGAAAAGCCCGCUCGCCGGAAGACCAAGGGUUCCUGUCCAACGUUAAUCGGGGCAGGGUGAGUCGACCCCUAAGGCGAGGCCGAAAGGCGUAGUCGAUGGGAAACGGGUUAAUAUUCCCGUACUUGGUGUUACUGCGAAGGGGGGACGGAGAAGGCUAUGUUGGCCGGGCGACGGUUGUCCCGGUUUAAGCGUGUAGGUGUGUGUUCCAGGUAAAUCCGGUUCACUUUAACACUGAGGCGUGACGACGAGGCACUACGGUGCUGAAGCAACAAAUGCCCUGCUUCCAGGAAAAGCCUCUAAGCAUCAGGUAACAUCAAAUCGUACCCCAAACCGACACAGGUGGUCAGGUAGAGAAUACCAAGGCGCUUGAGAGAACUCGGGUGAAGGAACUAGGCAAAAUGGUGCCGUAACUUCGGGAGAAGGCACGCUGACACGUAGGUGAAGUGAUUUACUCAUGGAGCUGAAGUCAGUCGAAGAUACCAGCUGGCUGCAACUGUUUAUUAAAAACACAGCACUGUGCAAACACGAAAGUGGACGUAUACGGUGUGACGCCUGCCCGGUGCCGGAAGGUUAAUUGAUGGGGUCAGCGCAAGCGAAGCUCCUGAUCGAAGCCCCGGUAAACGGCGGCCGUAACUAUAACGGUCCUAAGGUAGCGAAAUUCCUUGUCGGGUAAGUUCCGACCUGCACGAAUGGCGUAAUGAUGGCCAGGCUGUCUCCACCCGAGACUCAGUGAAAUUGAACUCGCUGUGAAGAUGCAGUGUACCCGCGGCAAGACGGAAAGACCCCGUGAACCUUUACUAUAGCUUGACACUGAACAUUGAGCCUUGAUGUGUAGGAUAGGUGGGAGGCUUUGAAGUGUGGACGCCAGUCUGCAUGGAGCCGACCUUGAAAUACCACCCUUUAAUGUUUGAUGUUCUAACGUGGACCCGUUACCCGGGUUGCGGACAGUGUCUGGUGGGUAGUUUGACUGGGGCGGUCUCCUCCUAAAGAGUAACGGAGGAGCACGAAGGUUGGCUAAUCCUGGUCGGACAUCAGGAGGUUAGUGCAAUGGCAUAAGCCAGCUUGACUGCGAGCGUGACGGCGCGAGCAGGUGCGAAAGCAGGUCAUAGUGAUCCGGUGGUUCUGAAUGGAAGGGCCAUCGCUCAACGGAUAAAAGGUACUCCGGGGAUAACAGGCUGAUACCGCCCAAGAGUUCAUAUCGACGGCGGUGUUUGGCACCUCGAUGUCGGCUCAUCACAUCCUGGGGCUGAAGUAGGUCCCAAGGGUAUGGCUGUUCGCCAUUUAAAGUGGUACGCGAGCUGGGUUUAGAACGUCGUGAGACAGUUCGGUCCCUAUCUGCCGUGGGCGCUGGAGAACUGAGGGGGGCUGCUCCUAGUACGAGAGGACCGGAGUGGACGCAUCACUGGUGUUCGGGUUGUCAUGCCAAUGGCACUGCCCGGUAGCUAAAUGCGGAAGAGAUAAGUGCUGAAAGCAUCUAAGCACGAAACUUGCCCCGAGAUGAGUUCUCCCUGAGACUUAGAGU
RNAcentral lists this ribosomal RNA (2262 nucleotides) under Salmonella enterica subsp. enterica serovar Enteritidis. RNAcentral describes it as "partial 23S ribosomal RNA". It matches the Rfam family "Bacterial large subunit ribosomal RNA", at positions 582 to 2826 of the family's 2925-position model. The record is from RNAcentral. Lineage: Bacteria; Pseudomonadati; Pseudomonadota; Gammaproteobacteria; Enterobacterales; Enterobacteriaceae.